Molecule: long non-coding RNA, 763 nt
Organism: Pseudopipra pipra
Lineage: Eukaryota; Metazoa; Chordata; Aves; Passeriformes; Pipridae
Exons: 2
Source: RefSeq, a predicted model, not a curated record
CUGGGGCUAUUUCCAACACAGCAGGAAGGAAGAGCUUUCAGGAACAUCUUCAACCAUUUCUCCAAAGUGGUCCAGGUCACCAAGGGAAGUAUAUUCACUAAAAGAGCUCAGGGCUGUUCAUUGUUAACCCUUCAGAUCAGAUCCUAAAAGCUCUUAAAAACACCAUUCACAACUGAAAGCUGUUUCACUCCAUCCUGACCUGGAUUUAUUAUCAGGAGACAGACAGAUCUUUUUUUUUUCCCUUUUUUUUUCUUUCUUUCUUCCCAAGCCAUUUGUUUCACCCAAUAAGUCGAUCCAUCACCGUGUUCUGGAACCGACCUACGAUCCAAGGAUAUUCUUAGACAUACAGCAUGUCAGGAAACGGCCAGCAGCCCCGUGUGAUGCAAAUAUUUGGACGACAGAGAGGUUUCUGGCCAGCAACACCAAGGACUGUCACGGGCUUUAACCAAGUGCGUGCGGGAGGAGCGAGGACAUCCCUGGCCAUGCUGCAGGACUGAGCUGUGGGCUGGGCACAGGACAACCCUCACCUCAAGGGUGAGUGCUUAGAAAGUGUGGGCAAAGCCAAAUUUGAAGCAAGGAAUCUGGGAAACCGAGAUAGGAGACAAGCAAAUCAGUCUGUGUGUGCACAAAAUAACCCGAACCUCAUCUUUAUUGAGGUUUUCCUCUCUCCUUCUGUAGGAAACACUGAUGACUGAGUUGUCAAGGGCUUUGUUGCUUCAGAAAAUCCCUGUUAUCACUGUAAUAAAGGAACUCAUGUCUUCCA